CCGGCAGCGGCGGGCGGCGUUAGCUAACUUCUUAAAAGCUUUAUUUUCAUGACCUCAUUUUCAUGGUUCAGUGACUACUUGAAAAAAAAGUUAAGAUUUUUUUUGUAAUGUUAAAUUCUCUCUUAUUAUAAGUAAUAGGAUAAGUAUAUUUGGUAUGUGCGUACCUUGCAAGGUCCUCAUGCCCGUCAGACAAUUUUCACUUGACCUCGACCUCAUUUCAUGGAUCAGUGAACAAGGUUAAGUUUUGGUGGUCAAGUCCAUAUCUCAGAUACUAUAAGCAAUAGGUCUAGUAUAUUCGGUGUAUGGAAGGACUGUAAGGUGUACAUGUCCAACUGGCAGGUGUCAUCUGACCUUGACCUCAUUUUCAUGGUUCAGUGGUUAUAGUUAAGUUUUUGUGUUUUGGUCUGUUUUUCUUAUACUGUAUGCAAUAGGUCUACUAUAUUUGGUGUAUGGAAUGAUUGUAAGGUAUACAUGUCUAGCUGGCAGGUGUCAUCUGACCUUGACCUCAUUUUCAUGGUUCAGUGGUUAUAGUUAAGUUUUUGUGUUUUGGUCUGUUUUUCUUAUACUGUAUGCAAUAGGUCUACUAUAUUUGGUGUAUGGAAUGAUUGUAAGGUGUACAUGUCUAGCUGGCAGGUGUCAUCUGACCUUGACCUCAUUUUCAUGGUUCAGUGGUCAAAGUUAAGUUUUUGAGUUUUGGUCUUUUUUUCUAAUACUAUAUGCAAUAGUUCAACUAUAUUUGGUGUAUGGAAAUAUUUUAUGAUCUAUAUGUUAGUCACGCAGGUUUUAUUUGACCUUGACCUCAUAUUCAAGGUUCAUUGCUCAGUGUUAAGUUUUUGUGUUUUGGUCUGUUUUUCUUAAACUAUAAGCAAUAGGUCAACUAUAUUUAUUGUAUGGAAGAAUUGUUAGCUGUACAUGCCUGCCUAGCAUGGUUCAUCUGACCUUGACAUCAUUUUCAUGGUUCAUUGGUCAAUGUUUAGUUUACUUGGUUAAUGUUAAGUUUAUGUGACAGUUGUAAUAAAGCUUUAUAUUUAGGACUAUCAACAUAAUAUCAAUGAUUAGUAAAGAAGGCGAGACAUUUCAGCGUGUGCACUCUUGUCUAACUUUAGUUUGCCUCAACCAAAUGUUAUGAAACUUAUACACAAUGCUUAUUACUACAUAAUACAGAUUAAUGAGGAAAUUUGGUGGCGACACUUUUACCAUUCUUGAGUUAUGUCCCUUUAUAAACAUAAAAAGUGCUGAAUUUUUCGUUUCCAUUUUCUAACUUUAGUUUGUCUCAACCAAAUGUUAUAAAACAUAAACACAACUGUUCUAGAGUUAUGCAUGUUUACAAAUAGAAAAAUUGCUGAAUUUUUA
Molecule: long non-coding RNA, 1353 nt
Organism: Mytilus californianus (California mussel)
Lineage: Eukaryota; Metazoa; Mollusca; Bivalvia; Mytilida; Mytilidae
Exons: 2
Source: RefSeq, a predicted model, not a curated record